CGGGUGCGGGCGCGGCGCGGGCGAGCGGCGGGGCCGGCGGGGCGGCGGCGCGCGCGAGGGAGUUGGGCCGGUUCGGCCCAAUUCGGCCGGGCCGGUCCGUUCCUCCCCUUUUUUUUCUUUUACCCUUUUCUUUUUCUGUUUUUCUUAUUCCUUUGAUAUCUUUUGAUUUUGAACUCCAAAUUGGUCCAAAUAAAUUUCAGAAAAUUUGUAAAAUCAUGUUCUACCAUGAUACAACUUUUGGGAGUAGUUUCCCCUCAAAAUAAAAUAUAUAAAAAUAUAUUUGCCCUAGAAAUGCCUCUAGGGCUAUAUAUCUAUUUAAAUAAAAUACUUUUUCAGCUCCAAAUAAUUAUCCAAAAAUUAUGGGAUAGCUUAUAUAUGCAUUAAACCCCUUUUAUACAUAGAACCUAUUGGUUUGAAGAUCCAAAGUUCAAAUGGGUGUAAACCCUAAGGUUCAAGUUGAAAUUAAAACUUUUAAAGCCUUUUUGAGAUUCAAAUUUGAAUUCAAACAUGCAAUUGUGGCAUGAUGCUCAUGGGUGCAAUGCAUAUGUAAAAGUUUGAAAUUUUGGGAUGUUACAAGCAUCAAGAGUGCGGCCCUGGUGGACUUCGUCGCGG
Molecule: long non-coding RNA, 612 nt
Filed under: Brachypodium distachyon (stiff brome)
Lineage: Eukaryota; Viridiplantae; Streptophyta; Magnoliopsida; Poales; Poaceae
Description: long non-coding RNA (BDIS_LNC003023)
Source: RNAcentral